CCUACGGGAGGCUGCAGUCGAGAAUCAUUCACAAUGGGGGAAACCCUGAUGGUGCGACGCCGCGUGGGGGAAUGAAGGUCUUCGGAUUGUAAACCCCUGUCAUGUGGGAGCAAAUUAAAAAGAUAGUACCACAAGAGGAAGCGACGGCUAACUCCGUGCCAGCAGCCGCGGUAAUACAGAGGUCUCAAGCGUUGUUUGGAAUCACUGGGCGUAAAGGGUGCGUAGGCUGUUUCGUAAGUCGUGUGUGAAAGGCGCGGGCUUAACCCGCGGACGGCACAUGAUACUGCGAGACUAGAGUAAUGGAGGGGGAGCUGGAAUUCUCGGUGUAGCAGUGAAAUGCGUAGAUAUCGAGAGGAACACUCGUGGCGAAGGCGGGUUCCUAGACAUUAACUGACGCUGAGGCACGAAGGCCAGGGGAGCGAAAGGGAUUAGAUACCCGAGUAGUC
Molecule: ribosomal RNA, 446 nt
Filed under: uncultured bacterium
Lineage: Bacteria
Description: partial 16S ribosomal RNA
Rfam family: Bacterial small subunit ribosomal RNA
Source: RNAcentral